RNAcentral lists this transfer RNA (90 nucleotides) under Elusimicrobiota bacterium. RNAcentral describes it as "Elusimicrobia bacterium (groundwater metagenome) tRNA-Ser". It matches the Rfam family "tRNA". Rfam says of the family: Transfer RNA (tRNA) molecules are approximately 80 nucleotides in length. Their secondary structure includes four short double-helical elements and three loops (D, anti-codon, and T loops). Lineage: Bacteria; Pseudomonadati; Elusimicrobiota. The record is from RNAcentral.
GGAGAGGUCGCAUAGCUUGGCUUAGUGCGCAUGCCUGGAAAGCAUGUAUACCGCAAGGUAUCGUGGGUUCGAAUCCCACCCUCUCCGCCA